GGGAGAGGCAAGCGUUAUCCGGAAUUAUUGGGCGUAAAGCGUCCGCAGGCGGUUAAUCAAGUCUGUUGUCAAAGCGUGGGGCUCAACCUCAUACAGGCAAUGGAAACUGAUUGACUAGAGUAUGGUAGGGGUAGCGGGAAUUCCAGGUGUAGCGGUGAAAUGCGUAGAUAUCUGGAAGAACACCAGCGGCGAAAGCGCGCUACUGGGCCAUAACUGACGCUCAUGGACGAAAGCUAGGGGAGCGAAAGGGAUUAGAUACCCCUGUAGUCCUAGCCGUAAACGAUGAACACUAGGUGUUGCGUGAAUCGACCCGCGCAGUCCCGUAGCCAACGCGUUAAGUGUUCCGCCUGGGGAGUACGCACGCAAGGUUGAAACUCAAAGGAAUUGACGGGGGCCCGCACAAGCGGUGGAGUAUGUGGUUUAAUUCGAUGCAACGCGAAGAACCUUACCAGGGUUUGACAUCCCCCGAAUCUCUUGGAAACGAGAGAGUGCCUUCGGGAGCGGGGAGACAGGUGGUGCAUGGCUGUCGUCAGCUCGUGUCGUGAGAUGUUGGGUUAAGUCCCGCAACGAGCGCAACCCACGUUUUUAGUUGCCAUCACUUCAGUUGGGCACUCUAGAGAAACUGCCGGUGACAAACCGGAGGAAGGUGUGGACGACGUCAAGUCAUCAUGCCCCUUACAUCCUGGGCUACACACGUACUACAAUGCUCCGGACAGCGAGACGCGAAGCCGCGAGGUGAAGCAAAUCUCCCAAACCGGGGCUCAGUUCAGAUUGCAGGCUGCAACUCGCCUGCAUGAAGGCGGAAUCGCUAGUAAUCGCAGGUCAGCAUACUGCGGUGAAUACGUUCCCGGGCCUU
This 856-nucleotide ribosomal RNA is filed under the name unidentified marine eubacterium. RNAcentral's name for it is "bacterial SSU rRNA". It matches the Rfam family "Bacterial small subunit ribosomal RNA", at positions 527 to 1382 of the family's 1533-position model. The record is from RNAcentral.